Amphiprion ocellaris (clown anemonefish) is the source of this 5525-nucleotide long non-coding RNA. RefSeq lists it as uncharacterized. NCBI's taxonomy places the organism in Eukaryota, Metazoa, Chordata, Actinopteri, Pomacentridae. The transcript has 5 exons. The record is from RefSeq and is a predicted model, not a curated record.
CAUAGAUAAUAUAGAAGACAGCGCGCUAGCGGAUCUAGUCUAUGUAUAUCUAUGGUCGUUACGUCUGGUAGCAUCUCUGGCUGCUGUUGACCUUGUUUUUGGAGUAAAACACGGUGGAAGCUGAAUUAGUGAGGAUGACUCCUGCUCCUGUCAUCUCUAAGCUCCUCACACAUCUUUACCUGCACAUGAGGAAAAUCACUCCUGUAGAAUGCAGUGGUUCAUCAGAACCUCUGGGGAUCCUGUGGAUUCUGUGGAUCCUGUGGGUUGCAGGGUGGGUCCUACCUAGACCAGGCUGAUCCUGGACCAUCCCACAGAUGCUCAAUCAGAUGUGGAUGUGGGGAGUGUGGAACCCAGAUGUUCAGAGGGAGAUGAUGCCACAUCUGGUCCAGCUGAUGGAAGGUCUUGAAGUUCUCUGACUGGCCUCGACUGAAGAUGGUCCUCUCUCUGGAUUUAAGGUUCAGAUGCUCAGUAACAAACUCCACCAAUGAGCCAACAGGGAAGCUUUAGGUUUAUUAAAUGUUGCUAUGAAGGUUUCACUGUUUUUCUUUGUGAAUGCAAUGAGCUCCAACUGAAACUUGAAUUAGAACUUAGAAGUAAAUCCUUCCAUCUGAAAGGAUUUAGUUGCAUUAAUAACCUCAUAACAUUCUAAUUUUUACUCCAGUCUUGGUUGGAAAUAGAAUCUCUGUAUUGAUUCAGGUAAAAACUGAACUUCACAGCAUGUUGGAGCAAAACAACCAGAUGAAAACUGUGAUGGUGUUGGAUUGUCAGACCGUAAUGUUGCAGCUCAAAGCAGCUUUUCUAGCUCAGUUCAUUCUGACAUUCAGCUAUGAAUCAACACAGCAGAUGGUGAUCCAUGCUGUGGAAGUCUCACAUCUCCUGAUUUAAUGGAGCUGCUUUGCACUUUUUACACUGUUUAUUCACCAACACUUUAUUUAAUAAAAGUCCCAUCUAGUUUUUAUGAGGAAUGUGAUGUUUUAAUUUCUCUGUGAAUAACUGCAGUCUAAUGUAACAGCUGGAGUUGUAACAUCUGUCCUGAUAUUGAUCAUGAAGUAUUGAUCAGAAUACUUAUGGUUAGCAGUCAUCCCUGAAGUUUUACAUUAAAAUCUUUACUUAUGUUGUGAACUUUGGUAAGAAGCAGAAACGUUAGCGUUGCCAUGGAUACAUGAGUGUUAAAUUCUGUCCAUGUUUCCAUUUUGGCAAAUGUAGUCCAGUUCCAGAAUGUGGAGGAAUUUAGUCUCACAAUCACAGACAACAAAUAUUAUCUGAAAGUCGGGUUAUUGUUGUUUAUCAGCACAAUACAAAAAGAUUAAUGUUAGAAAUAUUCCAGUUAAUACUCUAGAAUAUCACGAUUUAUGUAAAUUUACCUCAAUAAUAUGAAUGUUCAGGUUAAGAUUGUACAGUGAUAUUUAUUAUGUAAGUUUAGCUGAUUAAAGUUUAUGACUCUGCACUGAAAUAUUAUUUAAAUUGACAUCAUUAUUAUAGUAUUUAGGGUCAGACCCUACAGUAUUGAGAUUAAGAAAUCAAAUAUUCUAUAAAAUGUAAAUACACUGAACUCAUUUGGAUAUAUUUAAGUGAGACUAUACAAUAUUAUUUGACACAAAUCUACCUAAAUCAAAAUUUUAAUAAUUUUCACAUCAAACAUUUAGUGGACUGAUUUAAAUAUUAAAAUCACUCCUUUCUAAUCCUCUGCUGUACGUUCAAACCUGAGGCCUUAAAUAGAAACACACAAGUAUCUGAUUGAAGGAACUUCUGCAGAGUCCUGGUUCCAGAACAUGAUGAUAGAAUUAUAGACAAACUUUAACAAAAGCUGCCUGAGAGUUUACAGGUUUUUAUGUUAGAUUUCUUCAGUAAUUUAAUGAGUUAUCAGCAAAAAUCAAGUGUUCAUUUGAUGAACUUCAUUUCCUAAAACAUCCAGAAUUGGAGCUCAUACCUUUUAGAGCUGUAAAGUUUCUGCUCCUUCAAAGUUCACAACACAAUGAAUGAAUUCCUAAAACACUCUCAAUGCUGGAGAGCGUUUGUGAUGCUGAAGCAGUGACCAGUUUUUCUGUUUCUUCUCUGGAGAUGCACAUUGAGGGACGUCUGCAGCAACUGAGAAAGAGUCUCACCACAUCCUGACAUGAGGAAAAAGACUUUAUUGAAGACUGCAAUGAGAAAAACUAUCAGACAGCAGACGGCUGCAUUCAAGGUGAGCUCUGAACAUUUGAUCUGGAACAGGAAUUCAAUCACAGCAGCAUGAGCUUCAUUUCAGUCUGUAGCUGCUGAAUUCAUGGAUAAAUCAUCUGGCACUAGAGAGGAAGACCAUCAAACAGCCACGUCAGCUGAUGGAGGUCCAACAGUCUCACCAAACAAACAACCUACAGAGUGAAGACCUCAAAUCUGAUUGGACGGCCUCCUAUUCAGCCACUUUAGGCUGUUAGGUUGUUCCAGAUAAGACGAGUACAAGAUUCUUCAGAGCCGUUCUACCACGAGCCUGACAGGAAGAACUCCAACAGCUACUGAAUGUUCCUGUGGUCCCCUCAAGGCUACAGGAGGAGUCCUACGAGGACGAGCCGGUCCACCUGAUGGAGGCCAGUCGCUGUGGUUCAAAGCCAACACCGACUAUGUGGACUUCUACUGGACCACAGGGAGGCCUUCAAACCGGACCAACAAGUUCAUCGACUCCCCGACUCGUGGGUCUGAGGACGCCGCCGAGCCUCGGCCCAGCCGGCCACCUUUCUGUGGGUGUUUGAGUGCUGAGAGGUUUGUGGAUGCAUGUGAACGUUCUGUGUUGAAACAGCAGCUUUGGACUCAGUAACGCCGGGAAAAACCAAGAGCUCCUUUAUUUGUGACUUCCACUAAAAAAAACUGAUGAAAAUAAGUUUGCCAGGGUUCUGACUGAUAACAGAUUAUUAAAUAAUGAAAAUAACAUUUUAAAUGUUCCUUUAAACAAUCCUUUUAUGUCUACAUUUCCUUUACACUGACUUCUUGGUAUAUGUACAAGUAUUUUGGGUGGAAUAUACCAUUAAGCCCAAUGUUCAAGGGUUCUUCUGGGAAUAUACCAUUAAAGCAACCUUUUAGGUAAAUGUUCCAGGAUGUUGGGUAGAAUAUACCAUCAGAUCAACCUUUUAGGUCUACAUUGGAAGAUUUUAGAGUAGAAUAUUAAUCCAAACCAUCCUUUAGGUCUACAUUUAAGGUGGAAUACUCCUUUACACCAAGAUUUUUUGGUCUACAUUGAAAGAUUUUAGGUGAAAUAUUCCUUUGAACGAACUUUUUAAGUUUAUGUUCAAGGAUGUUGGGUGGAAUAUACCAUCAGACCAACCUCCAAGGUCUACAGUAGUGGAUUUUAGGUGGAAUAUACCAUUAAACUCACCUUUUAGGUCUACAUUGGAGGAUUUUAGGUGGAAUUUUCUUCCAAACCGUCUUUUAGUCUACAUUUAAGGAUGUUUAGGAUGGUAUAUUCUUCCAAACCAACUUCUCAGGUAUACAUUUCAGGUGGAAUGUUCCUCCAUACUAACUUUUUUGGUCUACAUUGAAUGAUUUUUUUCUAAACCACCCUUUCAGGUCUAUAUUUGGGGUUUUAGGUGGAAUAUUCCUUUUAACCAGCCCCUCAGGUCUCUUUGAGGAUUUUGGAUGGAAUACUCGGUUAAACCAACAUUUUAGGUGCAUGUCCAAGGAUUUUUGGUGGAAUGUUUCUUUAAGGUGGAUGUUUGAGGACCUUGUAGGUGGAAUACUUCCAGAAACCAACCUUUUAGGUCAACAUUCAAAGAUUUAAGGUGGAAUAUUCCUUUAAACCAACCUAAAUUUCAUGUUUUGAUCAUUAUCAAGUGAGAAACCUCAAUCCAGACUCCUCAUAAUGACGCUUAAGAUUUAUGCUGCUGUUAUUUGUUUAGUCCAGACUAAAUGACAGAAAAUCCACAACUGUAAUUUUAUUUCAGGACUCGGUUAUUAAAUGUCAAAACAAUCUAUGUGACUCUAAACACUCAACAGCUUUACAAACUCUAAGAUUAAACUCUCCACAAGGAUCCAAAACAAGUUGGAUUUCUACAUGAGAGCUUUAAUUAUUCUUCAUCUACUUCCUGAAAAGUUUGGUCAAUAAAAAAGACAAAAACUAAUAUUUUCAGUUCAACUAAAGACAGACUUUGUGAUUUUUCUGCUUACAUGUUGUGUUGUUGUAAACUUCCUCUUUCAAUUAAAUAGCCACCUAACCUCCUGGAAACCAGCUUUUGUCCUGUUUUUGUGUUGCUCCUCCGUGACCCUAGACAGCCGGGUCGUAAUGUUUUUUGAGCAACACACCAUACUAUGACGUUUUUACAAUGAUGGUUCUACUAUGGAACCAGUUUGACGUGUUCAGGUGUUCUUUGUGUGAAAACUCAGAGAUUUCAGGUAUCAGAGGUGGUUUUCAACUUUCUUUGUUAACUUUCUGCUUCAACUUUAAACUAAAUUUCCUUCACUAACCCAGCCCUCUGGACUUCCAGUAAGCUGUGUUCCUAUUGGCUGUCCAGGUGGCUGCUUGGUGUUAUCAGGAACACCUGAGCAGCUCAGUGUCUUCCUGCUUUAUUUAGCUGCAGCCAAACAUUUCAUCUGUUUCUCUUCACCACUGAACCGGGUUUGGCUCCUGUUGCUUUAGUUUGUCUUUUAGGCAUUGGCUUGCAGCUUCCAGCAGUAAAAUCGUCUUUAAUGUGUUUCUUGGUGUGUUUUAGGGCUUUGUACUGGAUAGUUGUCUUGGUAAAUGUGGUUCUUUAGCCACAGUUAGCACAUGGUGCAGUGAUUAGUGGAUUUGGUACAGCUGAGUUGUGUCUUUAUCUUGGCUGUAGUGAGUCUUUAGAGGUUUUUGGUCAGACACAUUCUGCAUGUUUGUGAACCAACGUUGGUUGUCCAGAAGGUAAGAGUUCCUGUCCUGAUUCUCUGUUCUCAGAGGUUAUCUGGUAGGCUGCAGGAGACUUUAGCGUUUGGGUUGUGCUAGUUUGGUUUUUGUACAGUUUCAUUUGGAUGACUAUCUUGAGGCCCCUCCAUGUGGUUUAGUGAGGUUUUCUGCAACAGUUCUACAAAGCAACCUGCAGCAGAAGAGACUUUGAGAGUUUUUAACAAGUUCUGGAGAGCAGACUUUAGAGCAGCAGAAACAUUUGUCAGCAGUUUGAGCAGGAGAAGGUGAGCUUCAGAGUAGAAAUGAGACAGAAACCUUCUUGACCCGUGUGGUGAGGUCCUGUAUGAAGAGUUUGAGCAGGUUGUGAAGAGUCUGUAGUUCUUUGGUCUGAAAGCACAAGAAGAGUCGACUCAUUAAAGGAGAAAACAGGAGAUAUUGUUGGUUCUUCUGUCGCUCUGCAGUUUCCUUAGACUGAAUAUCAAGUUUAUAUUUUAAAUGAUUUAACAUGUGAGCCCAAGAAGACUUCAAUAAACUCCCUCCAUCCCCUGGACACAACAUAUUUUUAUUACCAUGUUAAAUCUUUUAAUUAUAGUUUUAGCAUAGUUUUUUUUUUUCUCUUUGCUUGUUCAGUUUUGUCAUCUGUGUGAAAGGUGCUAAACAAAUAAAGUUGAAUUGAUAAACU